Molecule: ribosomal RNA, 751 nt
Filed under: uncultured Comamonadaceae bacterium
Lineage: Bacteria; Pseudomonadati; Pseudomonadota; Betaproteobacteria; Burkholderiales; Comamonadaceae
Description: bacterial SSU rRNA
Rfam family: Bacterial small subunit ribosomal RNA
Source: RNAcentral
AUUGAACGCUGGCGGCAUGCCUUACACAUGCAAGUCGAACGGUAACAGGUCUUCGGAUGCUGACGAGUGGCGAACGGGUGAGUAAUACAUCGGAACGUGCCCGAUCGUGGGGGAUAACGAAGCGAAAGCUUUGCUAAUACCGCAUACGAUCUACGGAUGAAAGCAGGGGACCGCAAGGCCUUGCGCGAACGGAGCGGCCGAUGGCAGAUUAGGUAGUUGGUGGGAUAAAAGCUUACCAAGCCGACGAUCUGUAGCUGGUCUGAGAGGACGACCAGCCACACUGGGACUGAGACACGGCCCAGACUCCUACGGGAGGCAGCAGUGGGGAAUUUUGGACAAUGGGCGAAAGCCUGAUCCAGCCAUGCCGCGUGCAGGAUGAAGGCCUUCGGGUUGUAAACUGCUUUUGUACGGAACGAAAAGACUCUGGUUAAUACCUGGGGUCCAUGACGGUACCGUAAGAAUAAGCACCGGCUAACUACGUGCCAGCAGCCGCGGUAAUACGUAGGGUGCAAGCGUUAAUCGGAAUUACUGGGCGUAAAGCGUGCGCAGGCGGUUAUAUAAGACAGAUGUGAAAUCCCCGGGCUCAACCUGGGAACUGCAUUUGUGACUGUAUAGCUAGAGUACGGCAGAGGGGGGUGGAAUUCCGCGUGUAGCAGUGAAAUGCGUAGAUAUGCGGAGGAACACCGAUGGCGAAGGCAAUCCCCUGGGCCUGUACUGACGCUCAUGCACGAAAGCGUGGGGAGCAAACAGG